This 108-nucleotide ribosomal RNA is filed under the name Olea europaea subsp. europaea. RNAcentral's name for it is "PK-G12rRNA". The record is from RNAcentral. Lineage: Eukaryota; Viridiplantae; Streptophyta; Magnoliopsida; Lamiales; Oleaceae.
UGCAAAACUUUUUUCGAACUAGACAUAGAUCAAGCAUCGAAUGUAUAUGCAAAUGGGAGCUUGAAUGUAAGACUUACUCGUCAAGUAAGGAUGAAAGUCAAUCUUAAU